Molecule: long non-coding RNA, 1530 nt
Filed under: Anser brachyrhynchus (Pink-footed goose)
Lineage: Eukaryota; Metazoa; Chordata; Aves; Anseriformes; Anatidae
Description: lncRNA (ENSABRG00000003898.1)
Source: RNAcentral
CCUCAGGUGACUCCUAUCUCAUUUUUGGCUUCUCAGGUCGACUUGAUCUCUGGGAUGAAACAAAGCUUGACUCCCAGAAAGCUGAAGAAAGAAGUCUAAAGUUUGUUUGAAGCUCUGGUGAAGACUUCCACAGACAGCUUCUACCUUCUUUCCAGUCCAUGGAAUCUAAGACUUCUAUGAGGAUCAGGCUAUACAAAUAGAAUCUUUACACUGGCAAAUUGCACCUAUUGUUGUUGGGGUGCAUCUGAAGACUGACGCAGAAACAGGCAAGAACACUGAGUGAAAAUAGGCACCCCAGAAAAGAUAAUGGGAACUUGAUCCGUAUUUUGAGAGCUGUUCACAGUGCAAAAUCAGAAAUAAGAACGUUAUUUCUUUUUGCCUUUCAAGAUCCUGGAUCUGGAGGUGGGGCGAUGAAAUGUGGAAAGACUGAUUCCAGUUGUUCCUCCGUGAACUGUGCCGAAUUCCUGCCCGAAUUGUGGUCACUGAAGUCAGGGCCACUGAAAGUUCCCCACACAAUCUGGAGGCUUUGAGAGGAGAGGAAAAAGAAGCUGAGAAGAGUUAACAUUGGUUGUAUGCUGUGGUUUAGUGGUGGCUGAAGAGGCGGUGAGAUGUGACUGUGGAGAUACAUACUGCUAAACUGCCUUGUGCUGGGAAGCCCUGUUGGGCCACAGGAGGACUUGUGGCUCUUGCCGGUAAUGCCUCCAAGGAGAAUUAAGGAGAUGUCUAGAAAAUAGGUUACUACAGAGGUAGGUUGCAGACUUGUAUACCUUGGUAGCUAAGACUAAGGAGCACAAAGGGUCUGAAGCCUUACUGAACUCAUGUUCUCUAUGAAAGAUAGAUUUCUUGAUGACAGGAGCACUGGACUGUGUAUUUGUCACUUAUUUGUUAGGUAGUUUCGGACAAGAGAAAAACAAUUUGACAUGUCCACAUUCUCAUCUGUAGAAUGAACAUCUUAUGUGAUUUCUUUAUGGCACGUGUGAUCUGAUCACCAUUAGUGAGAGACGAGUGUCUUCACUGAGAUGCAUGUCUACUGCUUACUGAUGUAUAGAAGCUUUCAGAUGGUUUGUACUCCUGCACCACAUAACCACUUGGGUACAUAUUUUCUUGCUGUUGCAGAAUUCCUUUAACUUUGGAUAAAAUUGCAGUCUGCCUUCCUGAAUAACAAUGCGGAGUUAGAGACAUAUUCUGUCUGUAAUACCUUGGAUUUGAGGAAAAUGCAUUUAAAAACAAACCCAAAUUCACAUAAAUGUUUUAAAAGUCAGGUCUGAAAUUGGAUCUUAUUCAGUUUAGGUCAAUAGUCUAGAAAGAAAAAUUCAGAAUAGGAGAUGAAUUGUGCUGAAUAUUUAUUUCUUGGGGUUUCUCUAAGGCUUUUAUUAUGGGAGUUGAAUCUAAAGAGUGGCUCUCCUAAAUGCUAUUAACGUAUCCACUUUUUCUGUGUUCCUGUUAGUAGGAAGCAAAUGACCUCAGUAUUAGGAGGCAAGUUUGAAAACUGCACAAGGAAUUACAUGUUAAAAAGAGAGAGAGAGGUGU